RNAcentral lists this long non-coding RNA (1677 nucleotides) under Homo sapiens (human). RNAcentral's name for it is "HSALNT0405972". The record is from RNAcentral. Lineage: Eukaryota; Metazoa; Chordata; Mammalia; Primates; Hominidae.
UCUGCGGCCAGAUGGGUGGGGAUUCAACAUCCUCUUUCCGCCCCACCUCCACCCGCUCCACCUUCCCCCGCGCUUCCUAGGCGGGAGCCCCGCCCUCUAGGGCGGGUCCAACGGACAGCCAGGUUCUAGGACAAGGAUUGACACAGGGGGAAUCCAAUCAGGAGGCGGCGACUCGGGGCGCGGAGAGCUCCGGGCCGGGGUUUUGGUGCCUUGCCUGGGCCGGGGCGAGGCCCUGCGGGAGCCGACUGGGAAGGUCUGGAACUCUGACACCCCGCCCCGCGAGCUGUGCUCUCAGUCUCAUGUCAUCCCACCACAAGGACAGAUAUUAAGUACCAUAUAUGGGAAAAAUGCUAUUUUACAUAAUUAUGAUCCCUGUGGGGGCGGGCAUGGACUCAGCCCUGGAUUCCAUUGUGAGCGUCUUGAGUUCGAUUCCUGACCCUGCCUCUUUAGGAUCCGCACGUUGCUGCCUUUCAGCCUCCAAACCUUCGCUCUGGCCGUUCUCUCCACCUGGAAUACCCUUCCGAGCCUCUCUUCACCUCCAUGUCAUUAACUCGCAUACAUCCUUUCAGAUAUUUCCUGAGGGCUUGUGAUUUGCCAGAUCCUGUACCAGGUGCUGGAACUUGGUGAUAGACAAUCCACAGUCUCUGCUCUGAAGACAUCCAUGCAGGUUACAUACACGGGCGGUGCAGCGGAGAGCGCGGCGGCGAAGUUUCAGGCCCCUGCCCAGCCCCACUCGCCGCAGCCAGGUAGCCCCUCCACCCUUCCUGCCCGGAAGUCCUGCGCGCUCCACCCAAGGACAGGUGGGUUAGCCAGGGCACGCCCACUUCCGUCUCAUUAGCCUAUCGAAUACGUUAUGCAAAUUGACACACGACCCCGCGCCUCACGACAACCAAUGGUUGCGGAGGCGCCGCAGGUCGCCCAGGUUCCCGUUCUCAGGAUGCUCUGGGAGCUCUGCCACGUUUCUGCUGUGGCAGGAAGAACUGAAAUUCCAGAAGCCGGAGAAACAAGCCGCCGUCAAGACUGCUGAAGCGAGGCCUACGGCCCUGUAAUCACACAAGCUCAGGCUUCACGGAAGCUGGAGGCCAUGUCGCCUGAUCCCCGGGCUGACCCCUUCCCUCCCUCCGCGUAGUUCCUGCCAAGCUCCAGGUGCCCGGUGCCCACGUAGUCUCGGUGAACGCAGAGAAAUCACUGCAGAUGUAGCCACGCUUCUCUGAGUUAAGGACUCGGCGUCCGCAGGAGAGCCAAGGCCUCGCUGCUGGGGGUCAGAGCCUCUCAGAGAACAAGAGGCAAGUCCAAGUUCUGCCUCCACCACUUGUUAGCUAUGCGACUUUGGGCAAUCCGCGUCACCUUUCCAAGCCUCAUUUUCCUCAUCUGGAAAAUAGGAAUAAUAACACUGCCCUCCCAGCUACGAUAUGAGGACCAAUGGCUAGUCAAAUGGAAAACACGAGGGUCUUUGCAAGCCAUUGUGCUUGGUGGUUAAGAGUAUCACUUCGGUUAGACAGAUUUGAAUUCAAAUCCUGCUUUUCCCAGUUACUUGUGUUCCAACCUUAAGCAAAUCACUUACUUUAUCUUCUGAUUCUCACUUUCUUCAACUGUAAAGAAUUCCAUGGGCUGUUGUUAGGAUUAAAUGAGUUAAGGUUUAUUGAUUGAGACAGGAUCUCUGUCACCCAAGCUGGA